GACGAACGCUGGCGGCGUGCUUAACACAUGCAAGUCGAGCGGUAAGGCCCUUUCGGGGGUACACGAGCGGCGAACGGGUGAGUAACACGUGGGUGACCUGCCCUUAGCUCUGGGAUAAGCCUGGGAAACUGGGUCUAAUACCGGAUAUGACUCCAUGACGCAUGUUGUGGGGUGAAAGCCUUGUGCGGCUAGGGAUGGGCCCGCGGCCUAUCAGCUUGGUUGGUGGGGUGAUGGCCACCAAGGCGACGACGGGUAGCCGGCCUGAGAGGGCCGACC
RNAcentral lists this ribosomal RNA (276 nucleotides) under uncultured bacterium. Its description in RNAcentral is "partial 16S ribosomal RNA". It matches the Rfam family "Bacterial small subunit ribosomal RNA", at positions 28 to 309 of the family's 1533-position model. The record is from RNAcentral.